Long non-coding RNA from Argiope bruennichi, 435 nucleotides. RefSeq lists it as uncharacterized. The transcript is spliced from 3 exons. Lineage: Eukaryota; Metazoa; Arthropoda; Arachnida; Araneae; Araneidae. The record is from RefSeq and is a predicted model, not a curated record.
GCUGAAUUCCCACUUAUUUAACUUUUCAGUAGUUCAAGCGAAUCAACACCAAUAUGAAGUUCCUGAUUGUAUUACUCUCUUUUUUUGCCAUUUCUUGGGCUCAAUUUCUGCCACUGGAUGUAACAGACGAAGAGCAUGCUGCCUCUUUAGGUGGAGCUGAAGUAGGACUUUAUCGUAGAAGCUCUGAUGGUUUUUUGCCAAUAUACUAUCCUGGCUAUUUUCCUUUCAUUUAUCCUUUUAAUCGUAGAUCAGAAAUUAACAGUGCUUCGUUGGGAGGCGCUCGAGUAGGAUUUUAUGGUAGAGACUGAUUAGGCUCAAUAGGUGAAAUCUGAUUCCGAUGUAUUUUGUUCCUCAUGGAAAAUGAAGUUAACAAAAAUGUCCGUCAUUCUUGCACUUUUUAUUGUUAAAAUAAAUUUAUUGGAAAAUUCAUUUGAG